RNAcentral lists this long non-coding RNA (615 nucleotides) under Homo sapiens (human). Its description in RNAcentral is "HSALNT0241806". Lineage: Eukaryota; Metazoa; Chordata; Mammalia; Primates; Hominidae. The record is from RNAcentral.
CACGCACGUGGAGGUUGGUUAAAGCAUCAGGAAGGGGAACUGCAAGAGCCAUCUAGGCAGGCACCCAGGACUGUGCCAGGGAAGACCUGGGUUUUAGUCCUGUCUCCAUCAACCUCAAGAAAUGGGACCUCAUGGAAGGGAGGGGAGGCAAUGCCGAGGAUGUGCUCCUGAGCAGGUGCCACAAUUCUUCACCUGUAAGAUUGCUGACAGAAAAGUGAGACCUCCUCCACCCCAAGGUCUCCUAAGAGAAUGCUGCUAGCCAAAAAAAGAUCUGCUGAUAAUUGAGGAAGAGCAUCUUUAAAAAGACACUCAACUACAUUUCAGAAACAUAAAGAUCUAAGUGUUGGCUCUACAAGGGAAGAAAUAAAGAGAAAGAACUUUUUUUCCUCCUACAACAGGUCUAGACAACGUCAUACAAGGAGUUGCACGCAUAUCCAAAACAAAAGCAAGGCAAAAACAAGCAAAAAAGCAACAAAUGCAUUCCAAAAUGAUGUCCAUUUAUCAGCCCAGAAAUGUACUGGAUACUGGUUUAGUUCAGCCUGUAGGUGCUGGGAAGAAAUUCCGACAAAUCCAAGUCAGUUGCAAAAAGGGAAAACUCCAGACAUAUCACCCAAU